GAUGAACGCUAGCUACAGGCUUAACACAUGCAAGUCGAGGGGAAACGACAUCGAAAGCUUGCUUUUGAUGGGCGUCGACCGGCGCACGGGUGAGUAACGCGUAUCCAACCUGCCCAUCACUUGGGAAUAACCUUGCGAAAGUAAGACUAAUACCCAAUGACAUCCCACGAAGACAUCUGAAUGGGAUUAAAGAUUUAUCGGUGAUGGAUGGGGAUGCGUCUGAUUAGCUUGUUGGCGGGGUAACGGCCCACCAAGGCAACGAUCAGUAGGGGUUCUGAGAGGAAGGUCCCCCACAUUGGAACUGAGACACGGUCCAAACUCCUACGGGAGGCAGCAGUGAGGAAUAUUGGUCAAGGGGCGAGAGCCUGAACCAGCCAAGUAGCGUGCAGGAUGACGGCCCUAUGGGUUGUAAACUGCUUUUAUAAGGGAAUAAAGUGGGUCUCGUGAGACUUUUUGCAUGUACCUUAUGAAUAAGGACCGGCUAAUUCCGUG
RNAcentral lists this ribosomal RNA (492 nucleotides) under uncultured bacterium. Its description in RNAcentral is "partial 16S ribosomal RNA". It matches the Rfam family "Bacterial small subunit ribosomal RNA", at positions 28 to 507 of the family's 1533-position model. The record is from RNAcentral.